AACCGUAUGCUUACAAGCCGUUGGAGCAAUUUAUUGUGACAGCGUGCCUAUUGAAGAAUGAGCCGGCGAGUUAAUUUAUGUAGCAAGGUUAAGAUAUUAAGUAUUGGAGCCGAAGCGAAAGCGAGUCUGAAUAGGGCGUUUAGUUGCAUGGAUUAGACCCGAAACCGUGUGAGCUACCCAUGACCAGGGUGAAGCGAAAUUAACGUUUCGUGAAGGCCCGAACCCUUGUACGCUGCAAAGUGCUGGGAUGAGUUGUGGGUAGAGGAGAAAUUCCAAACGAACACGGAGAUAGCUGGUUCUCCCCGAAAUGUAUUUAGGUACAGCCUUAGGUAUUAACUGAUGGAGGUAGAGCACUGGAUGAGCUAGCGGGCGCAAGUUUAGCAAACUCAACCAAACUAAGAAUGCCAUCAGCCGAAUCCUAGGAGUGAGACAGUGACGGAUAAGCGCCAUUGUCGAAAGGGAAACAGCCCAGAUCGCAAGCUAAGGUCCCAAAGUUAUAGUUAAGUGGUAAAGGAGGUUGGAUCGCCCAGACAGCUAGUAGGUUGGCUUAGAAGCAGCCAUCCUUUAAAGAGUGCGUAAUAGCUCACUAGUCGAGGGGUUCUGCGCCGAAAAUUAUCGGGGCUAAACUAUACACCGAAGCUGCGGGAUUCUUUAUGAAUCGGUAGGGGAGCGUUCUCAAUGCACUGAAUCUGAAUUGUGAAAUUUGGUGGAGCGUUGAGAAGUGAGAAUGUCGGCAUGAGUAGCGACAAUCUUUGUGAGAAUCAAAGACACCGGAAGUCCGAGGUUUCCUACGCAACGUUGAUCGGCGUAGGGUUAGUCGGUCCUAAGGAGAAGCCGAAAGGUGAAUUCGAUGGACAGCUGGUCAAAAUUCCAGCACCGUAAUUAUCCUGUUAUGCAACGAAGGGACGCGAUAAGGACUGUUAAGCAUGCCUAUGGACAUGGUGUGUGGGGCCUUGUAGGGAAGUGAUUGUGGUUAAAAGAACAGUUACGUUAUUAACUGAGAAGGUUUCAGACCUUAAGGCUUCGGCCUUAGGGAAUUUAACACGAACUACGUCGCCAAGAAAAGCUUCGUUGAUAGGGAUAUUAUGACCGUACCGAAAACCGACACAGGUGGACAGGGGUAAAAGCCCCAAGGUGAACGAGAAAACCAUCCUCAAGGAACUCGGCAAAUUAACCCCGUAACUUCGGAAUAAGGGGAGCCUAAAGUAUAUAGACCUCGCGUUGAAAGUAUUUUAGGCCGCAGAGAAUUGGUCUGAGCGACUGUUUAUCAAAAACACAGGUCCGUGCUAAAGCGAAAGCUGAUGUAUACGGGCUGACGCCUGCCCAGUGCCGGUAGGUUAAAGUGAAGAGUGAGAGCUUUGAUCUGAAGCCCCGGUGAACGGCGGCCGUAACUAUAACGGUCCUAAGGUAGCGAAAUCCCUUGUCGGGUAAGUUCCGACCUGCACGAAAGGCGUAACGACUUGGACACUGUCUCGAGGGUGGACUCGGUGAAAUUGCAUGACCCGUAAAGAUGCGGGUUACGCGCAGCAGGACAAAAAGACCCCGUGGAGCUUUACUGUAGCUUGGCAUUGAAUUGUGAUUAAUGAUGUGUAGGAUAGGCGGGAGACUAUGAAUUUUGAGCGUCAGCUCAAUUGGAGUCGCCCUUGAAAUACCGCCCUUCUUUGGUCUUGAUUCUAACUUUUUUAGGACAGUGUCUGGUAGGCAGUUUGACUGGGGCGGUCGCCUCCUAAAAUGUAACGGAGGCGCCCAAAGGUAACCUCAGGCUGGAUGGAAAUCAGCUUUUGAGUGCAUUGGCAUAAGGUUGCUUGACUGCGAGACCAACAAGUCGAGCAGGGACGAAAGUCGGGCAAAGUGAUCCCACGGUACCGAGUGGAAGGGCCGUGGCUUAACGGAUAAAAGCUACCCCGG
RNAcentral lists this ribosomal RNA (1908 nucleotides) under marine metagenome. Its description in RNAcentral is "bacterial LSU rRNA". It matches the Rfam family "Bacterial large subunit ribosomal RNA", at positions 554 to 2471 of the family's 2925-position model. The record is from RNAcentral.